CGAAGCAACGCGAAGAACCUUACCAGGCCUUGACAUGCAGAGAACUUUCCAGAGAUGGAUUGGUGCCCUCGGGAACUCUGACACAGGUGCUGCAUGGCUGUCGUCAGGCUCGUGUCGUGAGAUGUUGGGUUAAGUCCCGUAACGAGCGCAACCCUUGUCCUUAGUUACCAGCACGUUAUGGUGGGCACUCUAAGGAGACUGCCGGUGCAAACCGGAGGAAGGUGGGGAUGACGUCAAGUCAUCAUGGCCCUUACGGCCUGGGCUACACACGUGCUACAAUGGUCGGUACAAAGGGUUGCCAAGCCGCGAGGUGGAGCUAAUCCCAUAAAACCGAUCGUAGUCCGGACCGCAGUCUGCAACUCGACUGCGUGAAGUCGGAAUCGCUAGUAAUCGUGAAUCAGAAUGUCACGGUGAAUACGUUCCCGGGCCUU
Molecule: ribosomal RNA, 431 nt
Filed under: uncultured Pseudomonas sp.
Lineage: Bacteria; Pseudomonadati; Pseudomonadota; Gammaproteobacteria; Pseudomonadales; Pseudomonadaceae
Description: bacterial SSU rRNA
Rfam family: Bacterial small subunit ribosomal RNA
Source: RNAcentral